CUACGGGGUGCUGCAGUGGGGAAUAUUGCACAAUGGGGGAAACCCUGAUGCAGCAACGCCGCGUGGAGGAUGACACAUUUCGGUGCGUAAACUCCUUUUAUAGGUCAAGAUAAUGACGGUAGCCUAUGAAUAAGCGCCGGCUAACUCCGUGCCAGCAGCCGCGGUAAUACGGAGGGCGCAAGCGUUACUCGGAAUCACUGGGCGUAAAGAGCAUGUAGGCGGGUUAAUAAGUCAGAAGUGAAAUCCAAUAGCUCAACUAUUGAACUGCUUUUGAAACUGUUAACCUAGAGUGUGGGAGAGGUAGAUGGAAUUUCUGGUGUAGGGGUAAAAUCCGUAGAGAUCAGAAGGAAUACCGAUUGCGAAGGCGAUCUACUGGAACAUUACUGACGCUGAGAUGCGAAAGCGUGGGGAGCAAACAGGAUUAGAUACCCCCGUAGUC
This 439-nucleotide ribosomal RNA is filed under the name uncultured bacterium. RNAcentral describes it as "partial 16S ribosomal RNA". It matches the Rfam family "Bacterial small subunit ribosomal RNA", at positions 339 to 795 of the family's 1533-position model. The record is from RNAcentral.